CAGCAACAGUGACACAGGCCAGGAGCAAUGACCCCGAGCCCGAGAGCUAACCCAGGCAUUGCUGAGAGCAGAAAUGAGGUCUGGAGGGGCAAGUGAAAAGAGUCAGCACAGAAGCUUUAGCAGCUGUUUGGAGCAAAACAGACCUGUUUUGUUUUCAGUUGCCUACCAAAGAGGAUGGAGCUGCAUCUCUGGAAGAGCCUAUAUCUUUCCUGUCCAGAAGCUGAGCUGUCAGGAUCUGGCAGACAUCAUCACAGAGAUUUCUUCGUGCCUGACCACACUCCACUAGCCCAGGAUUUGGAAUUUAUGGAUAACAGGCCUUCAAGCAAAACAGGAUCUCAGUGCUUCUCUACCUGCAGCCUCUAUUUCAAGGGACAGAAAAAGCAGAAGAGAACGAAGAUUACACACAGCCUACUGUCAACCCAUGUCUUGUGUCAGGGCAGAAAAUACUUAUCAGUAAAUUAAGAUUUAAAUACAAGUUUCCCCCUUGCUUCAA
Molecule: long non-coding RNA, 493 nt
Organism: Passer domesticus (house sparrow)
Lineage: Eukaryota; Metazoa; Chordata; Aves; Passeriformes; Passeridae
Exons: 3
Source: RefSeq, a predicted model, not a curated record